This is a long non-coding RNA of Gallus gallus (chicken), 1147 nucleotides long. The record is from Ensembl. NCBI's taxonomy places the organism in Eukaryota, Metazoa, Chordata, Aves, Galliformes, Phasianidae.
AAACAAACACUUGCCCUUGCAAGAUUUUCUGUUGAGAUAAUCCUUCCAGCCAGCCCUGGAACGAUGUUGCCAAUGCCAUACAGCAAUACUCUGCAGAUUGCAGGAGGUUUUCUCAAGGACAGCGUUGUUCCCUGGAAUGAGCCCAGAGGGUCACAUUUCCAGGUUCUUCCCAGCGCUCCUGAUGGCAGGAAGGUUUCCUUGCUUUUCUGACAGUUCCAGCAGGAGCCAUGUAUCUUGCUUCUCAGGGUGUUAAUGGGUGCCAAACAGGGAGUGCCGCCCUGUUUUACUGCCCUGAGCAGAUGCCAAGCCUGUCCUCACCCUCUUUUAGACCUUAUUCAUGUAGUAUCCACCUUAGAGAACCAUUUGCAUAAGGCUUUGCAUGGCUCUGAGCAGCAGCACUCAGUUUUCCAAAGGAAACAAGAGGGCCACUUGCAUCACUCCCAGUGCGGGGCUGUCUCGGCUGACGCCAGCCCCACUGCCCCGGUGCCUUGGCUGGGACAAGCAUUGCUGCUCUGCACCUGGCCUUGAGCUCUGCCUUCAUAUCUUGGUUACAAAUAGCAGCAUAUUAAUGCUGUCGAGAGGACGGUAUUGUUUGCUCAAGGGUCUGAGUACUGAGGGAACCUGAGCAACAGGAAACCUGUGUUUAUCAGCAUUUUUAGCUUGCUUCAUGCAUCACUAAUCGUGGAAAUGGAACACAUCAAAAAAAGAUGAGAGCUCUGCCAUCAGAUUCACCGGAGCUCUAACACGCUGUGAGAUGUUCCUGUGGGAAGUUCCCAUCCACCUCUUUACCUCGCAGAGAUACAGGAGCUUAUCCACCCACAACAGCCACAAAGACAGAACUGUUUUCAAGAUGUAAAUCGUUUCCUGUGUAUUAGAUCCUACUGGAGAUGUCGUUGGUCCAAAGAUUUGAGACUUUGGGGUGUUCCAUCUCUGUUCCAUCUGCAAUCUGAAUAAAUGACUUUGGUUUUCUGUGCAUUGUUGGUUCUUCCCCUACAUCAAUAGAAAGGAAUGAGUGCUUACAAUAUGCUACAAAUGAGCCAUUUCUAAACAGUAUAUGUUUUGCCAAACAAGUUCUUUCUUCUUCUCCUCUCCACUUUUGUGCUAAUAACAAGUUACACUUUGCUACUUCUUUAAAUUUUCUUUCUCC